UGAAUACGAGACGCUAAGGCGUCGAAGUAGUGUAUGUCGUACUUCCAAGAAAAGCUUGCACUGUCAUAGAUAAAAAACGCCUGUACCAUAACCGACACAGGUGGGUAGGUAGAGUAUACUAAGGGGCGCGAGAUAACUCUCUCUAAGGAACUCGGCAAAAUAACUCCGUAACUUCGGGAGAAGGAGUGCCUUAUUCGUAAGGUUGCAAUAACAAGAUCCAAGCAACUGUUUAUCAAAAACACAGGUCUCCGCUAAGUCGUAAGACGAUGUAUGGGGGCUGACGCCUGCCCAGUGCCAGAAGGUUAAAGAAGUUGGUUAGCAAUUGCGAAGCUGAUAACUGAAGCCCUGGUGAACGGCGGCCGUAACAAUAACGGUCCUAAGGUAGCGAAAUUCCUUGUCGGGUAAGUUCCGACCCGCACGAAAGGCGUAAUGAUUUGGAUACUGUCUCGGAGAGGGGCUCGGUGAAAUAGACUUGUCUGUGAAGAUGCGGACUACCUGCACCAGGACAGAAAGACCCUAUGAAGCUUUACUGUAACUUGAAAUUGAAAUUGGACUUUAUUCGCGCAGUAUAGGUGGGAGGCGUUGAUUAUAAUCUUGUGGGAUUAUUGGAGCCAUCAAUGAGAUACCACUCUUGUAAUGUUAGAUUUCUAACUUUGAAUCAUUAUCUGGUCAAAGAACAGUUUCAGGCGGGCAGUUUGACUGGGGCGGUCGCCUCCUAAACGGUAACGGAGGCGUACAAAGGUUUCCUCUGAACGGUUAGAAAUCGUAUCUAGAGUGUAAAGGCAUAAGGAAGCUUGACUGUGAGACCUACAAGUCGAGCAGGGACGAAAGUCGGUCUUAGUGAUCUGACGGUACUGAGUGGAAAGGCCGUCACUCAACGGAUAAAAGUUACUCUAGGAUAACAGGCUGAUCUCCCCCAAGAGUUCACAUCGACGGGGAGGUUUGGCACCUCGAUGUCGGCUCAUCGCAUCCUGGGGCGGUAGUACGUCCCAAGGGUUGGGCUGUUCGCCCAUGAAAGCGGUACGCGAGCUGGGUUCAGAACGUCGUGAGACAGUUCGGUCCAUAUCCGGUGUAGGCGUUAGAAUAUUGAGAGGAGCCUUCUUUAGUACGAGAGGACCGAGAAGGACAUACCUCUGGUGUACCAGUUAUCGUGCCAACGGUAAACGCUGGGUAGCUAUGUAUGGAGUGGAUAACCGCUGAAAGCAUCUAAGUGGGAAGCCCACCUCAAGAUAAGUAUUCUCAUC
RNAcentral lists this ribosomal RNA (1244 nucleotides) under metagenome. RNAcentral's name for it is "bacterial LSU rRNA". It matches the Rfam family "Bacterial large subunit ribosomal RNA", at positions 1564 to 2818 of the family's 2925-position model. The record is from RNAcentral.